MicroRNA precursor from Aotus nancymaae (Ma's night monkey), 143 nucleotides. Lineage: Eukaryota; Metazoa; Chordata; Mammalia; Primates; Aotidae. The record is from Ensembl.
CAGAAAGCCCAGGUAAAUUUGAAUUUCAAGUAAACAAUGAAUAAUUGUGUAUGUAAGUAUAUCCCAUACAAUAUUUGGGGCAUACUUAUGCUAAAAAUUAUUCAUUGCUUAUCUGAAAUUCAAAUGUAACUAGGAUUCCUGUA